Molecule: long non-coding RNA, 1779 nt
Organism: Homo sapiens (human)
Lineage: Eukaryota; Metazoa; Chordata; Mammalia; Primates; Hominidae
Product: long intergenic non-protein coding RNA 1322
Source: Ensembl
GCUGGAGAGAAUGAGCUUGGAGCCGCAGGGCUUAAUCCCGCGCGGCUCAGAGAUGGGUUUCUGGACUCGCGAAGCAGCUGCAACAAGGCAUCACUCACUGUAUAAGUAUUUCCAUUUCUGAGAGCAAAAGGAAGAACUUAAGCGGGCGGCACUUGGAGUGUAAAUUGCUUUGUAGUAUUUAAAGGCAGAAUGGAUCCUGGGCAGCCGAGCUGCAACAAACCGGCAGGACUUCCUGUGAAAUCAUGACCACCAUGUGCUCUUUCAGCCUCUAUCAGUUCCUACCUCUAAGCACCUGAGAGCCAAAGCAAACCACAGGAAACCACAGGUACUAACUCUUUUAGACCUGAUGAAGUGUCUCCCAAAUACAGUCUGGCAUGACUCAAACUAAACGUCAGCUUUUCCCGGCUCUCAAGCCUGCUGGUCCCUGAACUAAAACUCACAUUAUCAACUCUACUGGUUCUUAGGCCUUUGGAGUCAGACUGGAACUACAGCAUUGACUCUUCCGGAACUCCAGCUUACUGACUACAGAUCUUGGAACUUUUCAGCUUCCACAACCAUAAUGAAAGCCAAGCAUAUUCCAUCAUUUCCUAAAACCAAGAUAGAGCACAUAUGGGAACUUGUGAAAUAAGGAUGCCCUGCGGUUGUUUUCAGGACUGAAGACAACAGCUCCACGAUGUAUCUUUGCAUAAGAAUACACUUGUAUAAUAAGUUUUUUUUUUUAGAGAAAUUGCAUGUAUCUGCCUUAUAAACUUUUUCAUUCAUUCAUUUUCUUUCUUCCUAAUCUGUUCCAUAAAGCAAAUUUCUAACUUAUUGUUAAUCAAAAUAAUUAUUGAAAUAAUUAGUACUUUCAUAUGAUAAAGAUUAUUUUAAUCUGCAGCUACAAAAUAUGUAACUCAUUAAUAUUUAAACAAUCACAAUUUUCUAUUAACAUUAUAGCAUUUUAUCUACUACUAGAUCAGGAAUUAGCUAUUUUUUGUAAAAUUUCUUUGUAAGGCAAAGCAAUAGUAUUGUAUAUACUUUCCUAAAGAUUGUCAAGUUCAGUUUUGCUUAAAUUUAACAGUACAUGUGACACUUUCUGUUUGAAGAAUAAGUUGGUUUUAAGUUUAUACCAAACAAAAGCAUCUCUUUUGUUUUGCAAAAUCUGAAACUUUGAUCUUUCUAGUUGUGACUUCUUGUAAAUAUGUUUUAUAUAAAUAUUCUAUGAAUUGGUUAUUAACAAGGUAAAGAAAGAUUGAUAUGUAAGCUGAUUCUUAAACAUUAAUUUUCUGGAGAUAAACUUUUUUAAAAUUAUGCUUUAAAAAUAUUUUAACACAUGUUAUCAAAAAGGAACUGAAAUAUCUUAGGCAUAAAAGACAUCUCUAGAGGUCAUUAUUCAGUUUCCAGAAAGUACUGAAACUAUCUCUGACAGAUUGAUACGUUUUCUGCAUUUAUAGCUCUCUGGAGAGAGGUUCUGUAUAUUUAACAAUUCUCACUGUGAGGGAUAUUUUAAGUAUUUCAAAUUUAAAGUGCUCAUGUUUCAGAUUCAGAUUAUUAUUAUCAUCAUCAUUAUUUUGGUUCUGGCUUCAGUAAAAAUGUGAAAAACACUUUUCCAUCUUCUGAUAAUAUUUCAUAUUUAUAAAAUUAUUAUUAAGUUAUAACUCAGCUUUUUCAUUUAUGCUUUAAAUCCUUUUAUUAUCUCAUCACAACCAUCUUUGACUGUUUAUCAGAAAUGGUUCUCUUUUGUACAUUGACCAUUAUUUUAUAGAUCACAUUUAAGUUAAUAUAAAUCAUGCCUAUAAA